UGUCGGCCGUCACUACAAUAUUUUAGUAGGAGGCCUCGUUUUGAUCCGCUCCUGUCUGCAGUUAGGUUGUUUUUUUUUUUUAUUUAGCUAGGCGCUAAAAUGCUUCGUGUUGAGCGGGACAUAAACAUUGACAAAGACAAAGUGUUUGGUAGGUUUUGUUCUAUGGAGGAUGGUGGAAUACACAAAUGGACUAACGUUAGCCUACACUAAUCUAGGCCUACAGCAGGCAGAGCAGGGACAACAGUUGAGAGGCUGAGUGGACUGGUUGUAUUAAGCUUUGAGAAUGAACGAGCAAAGAAGCUGAACCUAGAGCAGAUUGUUGAGGACUUCGCGGUGCAUAAAGCUCACAGAAUGCCGUUCAGACAGGAUGGUGUUUGCCAGGGAGGUGUGUCUUGAGACGUGUCCAUACCAAAUGAAAUGAAUGUAUCCCUCCUGCCUCUCUCCUCCUCGCCGCUCCUCGUUUUCUGGCCUACUGGGCACAUCUAUUACCCUCUGAUGAAUGACGCUGAGAAUCGUAUCUGUGCUCACUACUGUCACUGCACAGUGUCAGCAAUUCAUCCUGCAUCUGAAGCCGCAGUGUCGUAUGAUCCACUUCAAUAGGACUCUGUUAAUCUCUGCAGGACCAAUUAAAAAAGAAUUACUGGAGAGGCUUUUCACAGGAAUGUUACAGUGUCCAUGGGUUCUGGUUACUUUCAAUGGCCAGAGCAUGUACAAUUUAAAAUGAUAUGCACUUUUUCAUGAGGGUAAUGUUGUUACAGUAUGUUAUGUCAUGAAAUGUCUGGGAUGAGAAAGUCUAGAUUGGUCUCAAGGAAAAGAAAUAAUCUUUCAAUUUCAGAUUUAAUUAGAUUUUCAGUUUUAUCUCGUUAUCUCCUUGAGAUUGAGAUGUUUUUUCAAGAAAGAUCUGUGAACAAAAACACAAAUUAAUUUAAAGGAAUAGUUUGACAUUUUUGGGAAAUACGCUUAUUCUCUUUCUUGCCGAGAGUUAGGUGAGAAGAUUGAUACCAUUCUCAUGUCUGUAUGCUAGCUAAAUAUGAAGCUACCACCAGCAGCCAGCUAACUUGGCUUAUCAUAAAGAUUGGAAACAGCUGGCCUGGCUCUGUAUGAUAACAAAAUAAACCUACCAGCACCAAAGCUCAAUAAUUAUCACGUUUUAUCUUGUUUUUUAAACAGAACCCGUUUUAUGUGGCGUUUUUCAAGCUGUUUUUUGUCAUUGUAAAUUGAAAAUCAUGGGAUUUUAGACUGUUGGUGAGACAAAACAAGUAAUCUGAAGACAUAACCUUGGGCUCUGGGAAAGUUUUCUCAUAUUUUUUAGACCAGAUGAUAAAUCGAUAUAAAAAUAAUUGUUAGAUGCAACCCUUAACGACUAAAAACAAGAUCAGGUCAUGAUUCUUCAUUUUCUUUUGAGACAUACUUAAAUUAUGCUAUAAGACCCAAGUUGGUGUAACUUCAACAAAAGGAAUUUACUGGCUGACAAAUCAACUCACUGGUUUCACAUUUGAAAUUAUAACAUCCAUUACGUCAGUGCAAUAUAAUGGCUUUUGAAACCACUGGUGGGGACCAAAUGCCUCUGAAUGAUCCAAGUGGAUUCCCAGCUGAGCCUCUAAGUGCUACUUUUCAAUUCUAACACCACUUUCUUUCCACUUCUCCUCCACUUCCCUCUAAAAUUACAUUGACAUGACAUUGUGAUAACCCAAUACUACAAUAGAAAAGGCUAAUUAUGAGUGUUUAAGCUCCUUUUGUAAUUAGCUAACUUGGAGUUUCUUACAUUUCUUCCUCAGAAGUUUCUUUUACUCCCCUGACACAAGUGGCAGCAGCUGAACCAAGAUGAACUUAAGAUGAUCUUCACAUGCUACUUUCAGGCUUGGAUCUCACAGUCUCUCUUUUGCACUGAAGCUGAUUUAACAACUGAAAAUACCGUUAUUUUGAGUCAAAGGUUAAUUUCAGUUUAUCUUAUUUUGUCUUAUUUAUGUAGUUUUGGCCAUCUUUCCUAUCAAUAAUAAAAAGAUUGUACUUAACUGAGAAUGCAGCAACAUCGUUUAAAAGAAGUGAUGGGGCAAAAUUCAUGAAAAGAUUUAUUUUAGAAGAGAAAACAAAGGCAGACAGUGAAAUUGACUCAAACUGUCCAUCGCAAACAUCCAUCACAGUUUACAGACUAACUGGUUCAAAUUCAGUAUUCUGCACUUGGCAUAGUUGUGCACAGUUUUCCAGCCAAGUAUCCCCUGGAAUUACAGUCAUAUUGGAUGAUUCCGCACCUCAAAAUUUUUGUCCAAUGCCGACGUUCAGUGCCAGUGCAUGCAGGAAGUCACAUGCCCUUUUGGGUA
Molecule: long non-coding RNA, 2321 nt
Organism: Siniperca chuatsi (mandarin fish)
Lineage: Eukaryota; Metazoa; Chordata; Actinopteri; Centrarchiformes; Sinipercidae
Exons: 4
Source: RefSeq, a predicted model, not a curated record